UGGGGAAUAUUGGACAAUGGGCGCAAGCCUGAUCCAGCCAUGCCGCGUGAGUGACGAAGGUCUUCGGAUUGUAAAGCUCUUUUUGGCGGGGACGAUAAUGACGGUACCCGCAGAAUAAGCCCCGGCUAACUUCGUGCCAGCAGCCGCGGUAAUACGAAGGGGGCUAGCGUUGUUCGGAAUUACUGGGCGUAAAGCGCACGUAGGCGGAUUUGUAAGUCAGGGGUGAAAUCCCGGGGCUCAACCUCGGAACUGCCUCUGAUACUGCGGAUCUCGAGUCCGGAAGAGGUGAGUGGAAUUCCUAGUGUAGAGGUGAAAUUCGUAGAUAUUAGGAAGAACACCAGUGGCGAAGGCGGCUCACUGGUCCGGUACUGACGCUGAGGUGCGAAAGCGUGGGGAGCAAACAGGAUUAGAUACCCCAGUAGUCCCUGAGCGGGCUGGCAAGGCGCAU
This 448-nucleotide ribosomal RNA is filed under the name uncultured bacterium. Its description in RNAcentral is "bacterial SSU rRNA". It matches the Rfam family "Bacterial small subunit ribosomal RNA", at positions 355 to 825 of the family's 1533-position model. The record is from RNAcentral.